This 1327-nucleotide long non-coding RNA is filed under the name Marmota monax (woodchuck). Lineage: Eukaryota; Metazoa; Chordata; Mammalia; Rodentia; Sciuridae. The record is from RNAcentral.
AUACCAUACAAAAAUGUAGCCCAUGGCUUUUUAAGGAGGAGUUGUUGAAUAUAUCACAAUGGGACCAUCAUGGUGAAGACUUAAGGAAGAGGGAAAAGAAAAACCCAGGGACUUUGCCAGUUGGCACAUUGUCAUUGUGGAUGAUGAUACGAUUUUGUUUGCCUAGUCCAAAGCUUUCAGUUCAGAUUAUGGUAGAAGACAUAUUAGAUCAGGAAAAAGAGGAGGCCUCUUGAGAUAGUCAGAAAGGGGAAGAAAGUUUAGAGGAGAAAAAGCUGUAGGGGAGAAGUUACAACAGGAGGCUGCUACUAACACCAUUCUAUCACCAGAGGGCAUAAUUCAACCAACAGCUCCACCUAUGGAGACAACAUAUGCUGAGUGGCCCUCAACCCCCAUAGUUGAUAGAUGGGAUCCUGAGACAGGACCCAAAGAUUAGCAUGCCCUGUAUUUGAAGAGGCAGGAGGGCAGCAAAUUCACCAUGUUUUAGAUUUCAAAACAGUGAAGCAGCUGAAAGAGGCUGUAACAACCUAUGGUCCUCAAGCACCCUUUACUGUAAGCAUGGUCGAAUCCAUUACCAACUUGAACAUAAUGCCAGCAGAUUGGGCUAGUAUGUGCAAAGCUGUGCUAAAGGAGGACAUUAUCUGUUAUGGAAGGUUGCUAAUCAGGAAUUUUGCAUGGAGACGGCUAGGUGAAAUGCAACAGCCAGUUAUACUCAGAGAAAUCUAGAUAUGUUGUUAGGAGAGGGACCUUAUGAGGGUCAGCUGCAACAAAUUAGAUAUGAUCCUGCCAUAUACUCACAAAUUGCUUCAGCUGUGGUUAGGGCAUGGAAAACUUUACAGGGGCAUGGAGAUUUACAAGGUCAAUUAUUUAAGGUAAUACAAGGAGCUAAUGAACCUUACGCUGAAUUUGUAGAUAGGCUUAUACAAACAGCUACCAGAAUUUUGGGGGAUGUAGAACAAGGAAUGCCAUUAAUAAAACAACUAGCCUACGAACAGGCAAAUAGAUGGUGCAGGGAUGCCAUUAGACCAUGGAAACAUGGAGAUUUAAACACAUAUAUUAAAUUAUCCAGAGACAUUAAUGAACAAGGGCAAGUCUUGGCAGCUGUAGUACAACAGGCUUUAGGUGCCAGACCAAAAACAUACUACAAUUGUGAACAAACAGGACAUUUUAAAAGGAGUUGCCCCAUAGGAGGAGGGUUUAACAAAACUAGGUAUCAAAGGGGUAGAAUACCGGGUAUUUGCCCACGAUGCCAUAGAGGGAGACAUUGGGCUAAUGAAUGCCGAUCUCAAACCACUAUAGAGGGUACUCCGUUAUAAAAAAAUGGACAAGG